GAUGAACGCUAGCGGUGCGCCUAACACAUGUAAGUCGUGCGAUCGAACCGAACUGAGUCCCUUCGGGGGCGAUGAUUGGUGACGGAGCGGCGGACGGGUGAGUAACGCGUGGCUAACCUACCCUCUUGACGGGGACAACCACCCGAAAGGGUGGCUAAUACCCGAUAUUGUCUGGAACCGAUGGGUUCCUUUCCAAAGGCGGUCCUGCCGCCGCAAGGGGAUGGGGCUGCGUCCUAUUAGCUAGUUGGUGAGGUAACGGCCCACCAAGGCUGUGAUGGGUAGCUGGUCUGAGAGGACGGCCAGCCACAUUGGGACUGAGAUACGGCCCAGACUCCUACGGGAGGCAGCAGUGGGGAAUCUUGGCCAAUGGACGAAAGUCUGAGCCAGCGACACCGCGUGGGGGAUGAAGGCCUUCGGGUUGUAAACCUCUUUUCUGGGGAAAGAAUAAGGACGGGAGGAAAUGCCCGCCCGAUGACGGUACUCCAGGAAUAAGCAUCGGCUAACUCUGUGCCAGCAGGCGCGGUAAGACAGAGGAUGCAAGCGUUAUCCGGAAUUACUGGGCGUAAAAGGCGUCUAGGCGGGUGAGCAAGUCACUUGUGAAAUCCCUCGGCUCAACCGAGGAGAGUCUCGUGAUACUGCUCGUCUU
Molecule: ribosomal RNA, 646 nt
Filed under: uncultured bacterium
Lineage: Bacteria
Description: bacterial SSU rRNA
Rfam family: Bacterial small subunit ribosomal RNA
Source: RNAcentral